Molecule: ribosomal RNA, 485 nt
Filed under: uncultured bacterium
Lineage: Bacteria
Description: bacterial SSU rRNA
Rfam family: Bacterial small subunit ribosomal RNA
Source: RNAcentral
GACGACGCGUGGCGGCGUGGAUUAGGCAUGCAAGUCGAACGGUAUCAUCCUUCGGGGGUGAGAGAGUGGCGAACUGGUGAGUAACACGUAGGUUAUCUACCUCAAGACGGGGACAACCCAGGGAAACUUGGGCUAAUACCGGAUGUGAGCAACUUUUAGUUGUUUGAAAGGUGGCGUAAGCUGUCGCUUGGGGAUGAGCCUGCGUCCUAUUAGUUAGUUGGUGAGGUAACGGCUCACCUAGGCAAUGAUAGGUAGGCGGCCUUAACGGGUGGUCGCCCACACUGGGAUUGAGAUACGGCCCAGACUCCUACGGGAGGCAGCAGUCGAGAAUAGUCUACAAUGGUCGGAAGACUGAUAGUGCGACGCCGCGUGAACGAUGAAUCCCUUCGGGGUGUAAAGUUCUUUUAUAUGUGAGCAGUGCUUCUUAUAUUAACAGUAUGGGGAGAGAGAUAUUAGCAUAUGAAUAAGCAACGGCUAACUCCGUG